This 961-nucleotide ribosomal RNA is filed under the name uncultured bacterium. RNAcentral's name for it is "bacterial SSU rRNA". It matches the Rfam family "Bacterial small subunit ribosomal RNA", at positions 56 to 1013 of the family's 1533-position model. The record is from RNAcentral.
UGCAAGUCGAACGGCAGCGCGGGGGCAACCGUGGCGGCGAGUGGCGAACGGGUGAGUAAUAUAUCGGAACGUACCCAAGAGUGGGGGAUAACGUAGCGAAAGUUACGCUAAUACCGCAUACGAUCUAAGGAUGAAAGCAGGGGAUCGCAAGACCUUGUGCUCCUGGAGCGGCCGAUAUCUGAUUAGCUAGUUGGUGGGGUAAAGGCCCACCAAGGCAACGAUCAGUAGCUGGUCUGAGAGGACGACCAGCCACACUGGAACUGAGACACGGUCCAGACUCCUACGGGAGGCAGCAGUGGGGAAUUUUGGACAAUGGGGGCAACCCUGAUCCAGCAAUGCCGCGUGAGUGAAGAAGGCCUUCGGGUUGUAAAGCUCUUUUGUCAGGGAAGAAAAGGCUGUGGCUAAUAUCCACAGCUGCUGACGGUACCUGAAGAAUAAGCACCGGCUAACUACGUGCCAGCAGCCGCGGUAAUACGUAGGGUGCAAGCGUUAAUCGGAAUUACUGGGCGUAAAGCGUGCGCAGGCGGUUUCGUAAGUCUGUCGUGAAAUCCCCGGGCUUAACCUGGGAAUGGCGAUGGAGACUGCGAAGCUAGAGUUUGGCAGAGGGGGGUAGAAUUCCACGUGUAGCAGUGAAAUGCGUAGAGAUGUGGAGGAACACCGAUGGCGAAGGCAGCCCCCUGGGUCAAAACUGACGCUCAUGCACGAAAGCGUGGGGAGCAAACAGGAUUAGAUACCCUGGUAGUCCACGCCCUAAACGAUGUCUACUAGUUGUUGGGUCUUAAUUGACUUAGUAACGCAGCUAACGCGUGAAGUAGACCGCCUGGGGAGUANGGUCGCAAGAUUAAAACUCAAAGGAAUUGACGGGGACCCGCACAAGCGGUGGAUGAUGUGGAUUAAUUCGAUGCAACGCGAAAAACCUUACCUACCCUUGACAUGGCAGGNAUCCCGGAGAGAUUUGGGA